UUACCAGACUCCUACGGGAGGCAGCAGUGGGGAAUAUUGGGCAAUGGAGGAAACUCUUACCCAGCAAUGCCGCGUGAAUGAAGAAGGUCUUCGGAUUGUAAAGUUCUUUAAUUGGGGACGAAAAAAAUGACGGUACCCAAGGAAUAAGCCCCGGCUAACUACGUGCCAGCAGCCGCGGUAAUACGUAGGGGGCAAGCGUUAUCCGGAUUUACUGGGUGUAAAGGGAGCGUAGACGGCAGCGCAAGUCUGAAGUGAAAUGCCGGGGCUUAACCCCGGAACUGCUUUGGAAACUGAGCAGCUAGAGUGCAGGAGAGGUAAGUGGAAUUCCUAGUGUAGCGGUGAGAUGCGUAGAUAUUAGGAGGAACACCAGUGGCGAAGGCGGCUUACUGGACUGUAACUGACGUUGAGGCUCGAAAGCGUGGGGAGCAAACAGGAUUAGAUACCCCCGUACG
Molecule: ribosomal RNA, 452 nt
Filed under: uncultured bacterium
Lineage: Bacteria
Description: partial 16S ribosomal RNA
Rfam family: Bacterial small subunit ribosomal RNA
Source: RNAcentral